UAGGGAAUCUUCGGCAAUGGACGAAAGUCUGACCGAGCAACGCCGCGUGAGUGAAGAAGGUUUUCGGAUCGUAAAACUCUGUUGUUAGAGAAGAACAAGGACGUUAGUAACUGAACGUCCCCUGACGGUAUCUAACCAGCAAGCCACGGCUAACUACGUGCCAGCAGCCGCGGUAAUACGUAGGUGGCAAGCGUUGUCCGGAUUUGUUGGGCGUAAAGCGAGCGCAGGCGGUUUCUUAAGUCUGAUGUGAAAGCCACAGGCUGAACCGGGGAGGGUCAUUGGAAACUGGGAGACUUGAGUGCAGAAGAGGAGGGUGGAAUUCCAUGUGUAGCGGGGAAAUGCGUAGAUAUAUGGAGGAACACCAGUGGCGAAGGCGGCUCUCUGGUCUGUAACUGACGCUGAGGCUCGAAAGCGUGGGGAGCAAACAGG
RNAcentral lists this ribosomal RNA (429 nucleotides) under Gemmatimonadota bacterium. RNAcentral's name for it is "Gemmatimonadetes bacterium partial 16S ribosomal RNA". It matches the Rfam family "Bacterial small subunit ribosomal RNA", at positions 355 to 776 of the family's 1533-position model. The record is from RNAcentral. Lineage: Bacteria; Pseudomonadati; Gemmatimonadota.